This 301-nucleotide ribosomal RNA is filed under the name uncultured bacterium. Its description in RNAcentral is "partial 16S ribosomal RNA". It matches the Rfam family "Bacterial small subunit ribosomal RNA", at positions 509 to 807 of the family's 1533-position model. The record is from RNAcentral.
CAGCCGCCGCGGGAAUACGGAGGGUGCAAGCGUUAAUCGGAAUUACUGGGCGUAAAGCGCACGCUGGCGGUCUGACAAGUCAGAUGUGAAAUCCCCGGGCUUAACCUGGGAACUGCAUUUGAAACUGUCAGGCUGGAGUCUUGUAGAGGGGGGUGGAAUUCCAGGUGUAGCGGUGAAAUGCGUAGAGAUCUGGAGGAAUACCGGUGGCGAAGGCGGCCCCCUGGACAAAGACUGACGCUCAGGUGCGAAAGCGUGGGGAGCAAACAGGAUUAGACACCCGCGUAGUCCCUGUCUCUUAUAC